GAUGAACGCUGGCGGCGUGCCUAAUACAUGCAAGUCGAGCGAACGGACGAGAAGCUUGCUUCUCUGAUGUUAGCGGCGGACGGGUGAGUAACACGUGGAUAACCUACCUAUAAGACUGGGAUAACUUCGGGAAACCGGAGCUAAUACCGGAUAAUAUUUUGAACCGCAUGGUUCAAAAGUGAAAGACGGUCUUGCUGUCACUUAUAGAUGGAUCCGCGCUGCAUUAGCUAGUUGGUAAGGUAACGGCUUACCAAGGCAACGAUGCAUAGCCGACCUGAGAGGGUGAUCGGCCACACUGGAACUGAGACACGGUCCAGAGUCCUACGGGAGGCAGCAGUAGGGAAUCUUCCGCAAUGGGCGAAAGCCUGACGGAGCAACGCCGCGUGAGUGAUGAAGGUCUUCGGAUCGUAAAACUCUGUUAUUAGGGAAGAACAUAUGUGUAAGUAACUGUGCACAUCUUGACGGUACCUAAUCAGAAAGCCACGGCUAACUACGUG
Molecule: ribosomal RNA, 497 nt
Filed under: uncultured bacterium
Lineage: Bacteria
Description: partial 16S ribosomal RNA
Rfam family: Bacterial small subunit ribosomal RNA
Source: RNAcentral